Neogale vison (American mink) is the source of this 1773-nucleotide long non-coding RNA. RefSeq lists it as uncharacterized. The transcript is spliced from 3 exons. Lineage: Eukaryota; Metazoa; Chordata; Mammalia; Carnivora; Mustelidae. The record is from RefSeq and is a predicted model, not a curated record.
CCCGCACUUUUUGGUUUCCCGCCGUACUUCCUGCGGCUGGAGACCGGGCGCGGUGGGGAAUCGGGCUGUCACAUUUGCCAACCCCGAACUGGAAGAAUAUGCAACUGAGAAACACUGAAUCAUGGGUGAAUGAGUUGUCAAUUCCUUCCUUCCCUUUACUUGGAAUACUGAAAAUGCAGGGAGACUGCUCUUGGAAACCAGUGGCAUACAAAGCACUCAGACUGAACCCUGGGAGCAGAUGUUGGAUAGAGUUUGAGGCGCAAGAUGUUUAUUAAGGAUGAACCCUUAUAAAAGGAAGAGUGAAGAGGUAAGAGUGGGCAGUGGAAAAAUCAGAGUGCAACGAAAGCCUGCUAGAGCCUUGACCAUCCCGCUGAGCAGCUCUGGAGCAAAUACUGCUCGCAAGCAUGGCCUGCUUUGGGCUGAAAUGGCCUGUUCCGUUCAGGCAAGACAUGCUGGGUACUCUGGGAAGGAUAUGACUUUGGAAGAGCUGUGGGGGGUCUCAGCAGACAACAGUUUGCCUUCUGCUGGGUUUCGCAAUUCUUUCCCCUCUCUCCCGUUGGGCCACUUGCUCCCCACUUGGAUCCAGUCAUUUCUCUGUGUGUUUCCAGUACUGGAUGGAAUGAAAAUAGUGAGCUCUUAGCUAGGUAGGGACAAGUGUCAGGGACAGGGAACCCAACCACUGUAGGGAAACUGGAGGGCUGGGCACCCACCUGGACAAAAUAUGAGGUGGUAUACCAGGCCUUGACCAGACCGAGCACCAAGGCUGGGAGAACCAGCAGGUAGGCAUCAAUUUGGGGGACUCCCAACAACCUAUUCCUGUCACAGCUAUAUGCCAGAAGUAACGGUAGACUGAAGUGCAAAUUGUUCAAAUGUUAGAGUAGGCAGUUAGGUUCUAACAGGAUACCUGGAGGCCAGCAAAGAGGAAGUCGUGGCUAGGAUUGUGAAUGUCAGAGGCCUGUCCCCACAGAGCCCGAUGCGGGGCUCGAUUUGAGGACCCUGAGAUCAUGACCUGAGCUGAAAUUAACCAACUGAGCCCUGAGACCAGUAUUAUCUUGAAGUUAGUUAGUAAUCAUCCAGAAAAUCAGAAGGGCAGAGUAAAUCUCUGGAGGUAAGAGCUGGUGCUUCAUGAUGUCACUACCCCUCUCCAGCUGAAGCCCCUUGCCCCUCUCCCUGCUAAGGGGUCUGGGUAUAAUUUAUUAAGAAAGCCUCGUUUACAUGGUCUUCCUGUGGGGUGGGGGAGUGGGAUAGGCAAGCAGGACUCCUGGUAUCUCUGGACACGGAGAUGUUAUGAGAAAGCCUCAUAGGAAAGGGCAGAAGUCAUGCCCCCAUCUGCCCUAGUCAGCAUCUGCCGUGUUCUCUGCAAGCUGUGUGGAUCUUCCCCUGCUUGUGUGCUGGAGGGAGAAGACACCAGAUAACCACGCGGACUCCAGGAAUGGGUGAGCGCUCCACCCACAGUCUCUGAGGAGCCGAAGGAAAGGAGCAAGUUCCCUUUCCUUCUUUUGGGUCUGCGUGCUUUUCUCGUCUCCCUGAUCCAUUCUCUCUUUAUCUGUCUCUUUGUAACCCUCAUUCUGUCUCUUUCUCUGUCUUAAUCUCUUGUACAUAGACACACACUUACCUUUUCACCCUGUCCCUAAAAAUAAUAAUAUUGUUCAAACUACCUAGUAGGAUAAUCAGGUUAGACUGGACUUCCAGGUUUUUAAAGAUUUCUUUAAAGUAGGUCUCACUUCAAAUCAUCCCUGAUGACCCAUUUUCCAAGUUUAUCUCCACUUAAGU